GCUCUGAUCGAUUAGUUGGUUAAAUCAGAGGUCUCAUAAUCCUCAGCCCACAGUUCGAAUCUGUGUCAGAGCA
RNAcentral lists this transfer RNA (73 nucleotides) under Kwoniella mangroviensis CBS 8507. Its description in RNAcentral is "tRNA-Met (CAT) (tRNA-Met-CAT-2-1)". It matches the Rfam family "tRNA". Rfam says of the family: Transfer RNA (tRNA) molecules are approximately 80 nucleotides in length. Their secondary structure includes four short double-helical elements and three loops (D, anti-codon, and T loops). RNAcentral also lists the same sequence under 2 other names. The record is from RNAcentral. Lineage: Eukaryota; Fungi; Basidiomycota; Tremellomycetes; Tremellales; Cryptococcaceae.